Capsicum annuum is the source of this 106-nucleotide non-coding RNA. Lineage: Eukaryota; Viridiplantae; Streptophyta; Magnoliopsida; Solanales; Solanaceae. The record is from Rfam.
ACCUCAUGAUUAGGGCAUUAUAUAAACUUAUCAUUAAAGUUUUGCCGCACUUCAUACAAUAAUUCUCCAUUGAGUUGGUGAAAGUAGGUGAUUUCAUCUCUAAGUU